This 143-nucleotide small RNA is filed under the name Flavobacterium lacus. RNAcentral describes it as "Flavo-1 RNA". It matches the Rfam family "Flavo-1 RNA". Lineage: Bacteria; Pseudomonadati; Bacteroidota; Flavobacteriia; Flavobacteriales; Flavobacteriaceae. The record is from RNAcentral.
UUCUAGCCCGGAUAGUAGCGGAAAGCCCGGAGCUUAAAAAACUAAUUUUUCUUGGCAAAAAAAAGCAACCAAAGGAAGCUCUUUCUUUGACUUAGAAAAAUAGUUUUUUUAGUGAGGACUUGCAGCGGAUAGCCGGAAUAGCU